CAAGGGUGAGGGUCCACAGGUCUGGCCCCCAGAUGCACCCUGGAGCAAUGAGGGCGCCCGGGGCAGGGACUUUUACCAGCCUUCCCUGGUGGAGGCAAGAUUCACAAUGCAAACUCUUCUCCAAUGCAGGGACAGAUGACCAAACCUUGCAGACAGCGGCGGGAGCUGGAGGGACUUUGUUGAGGACUGGGACCCAGGUGCGGUUGCUGCAAUGCUCUCUGCUUUGGCAGAGAAAAGAUGCAGAUUCCCAGGUCACACCAAGUGACCUCUCCAGAACCUGGAACAGCCUCUGUGUGGACUGCCAUGGGAGAGCUGGAGCCACCACAGAAUCUUGCUCACCCCAGGGAGGUGGCAGCAAUAGGAUCAUCACGACUUUUCACCUUGACCUUUCACCACAGCCUGACCCCUCCAAGGUAGCUGCUCAAUGCCAGUUUGUGGAUCGACAUGUGAUUCUUACAUUUGCAACAACAUCUUCUGUGAGUAGCCUGCUCCCCCAGCACGAGGAAAAUGACACUGAUCCUGAGAGGAUUUGAUUCGUGCAUUCUGGAGGGACAAGCCUGCCUGGAAAAGUCUCCUGCAGGAGAGGCAGACCAGGCUGCCCCAACCUGAGUGUGGACUCCAGCCCUGGGCUGCCGGGCGAUAUGUCCUCCCAUCCACCCACUACCCUCACCAGUCUCAGCAGCGACUCAGAAUCUCUGUCUGGGUCUGGUCCACCACCUUCCCCUAUUUGGACUUGAACUCCUUCAGGGCUGGCACAGUGACCCGUCAUCCUAUCAUGCCCACAGUGACCUGCUGGGUGCUGUGAGAUGUCAGUUUGGGCCCUGCUGUGUGCACCAACUUCACUGGUGAUACUGUUACCACCUUAAGGGUCAGAGAGGUUUAAGAACUCACCCAAAGUCA
This 900-nucleotide long non-coding RNA is filed under the name Pan troglodytes (chimpanzee). RNAcentral's name for it is "long non-coding RNA NONPTRT006713". The record is from RNAcentral. Lineage: Eukaryota; Metazoa; Chordata; Mammalia; Primates; Hominidae.